AUCUUACACGAAGAUUCCCGCUAAGUAAAUGAUACAAUAAGCUCUUUCUCCCCCAUUUCCACCAUAUUGGUGCUGCAGUCUUCCGUCUCUUUUUAAUUUGUUCUUUUUUAUUCUCAGAACAGUAUGCUUCCCAUUGCGACUGCAAUUUUGCAAAACUAGACUCCAGAGAAGACCAAUGGUGCAUCUGAAUCUUCAAGACUUCCAGAACAGUUUGCAAGCCAGCUUUAGAAGGGACAGUAUUGCCUAAUUCGAAUUCAGAGCUUUCACCCAGCAGUACCUUAAUCACUGCAGUAGCAGAAGAUGAUAUGGAGCGUAGAUUAUAGCCGCCCUCAAGAAUUACGAGCAGCUUUCCCCUGCAGAUAGUAUACAACAUAUGAGUCAUCUGUGCAUAGCCAGCUGGAGUUACAUCACAACAGCCCAAAGGAUCACCCCUUGCUGCAUCUCAAAUCCAGCAGAUAUGAUGGUGAAAUCAGGCGCAAAUUCAGCAGCUAUAGGUAGCACAACAUGCUGAAAUGCAAAAAUGUAAUCAUUAUCGCCAACCCCUCCACGACUCCAUGGAAUAUUUACACAAUAUCCUGCUGCACCUUCAGUACCGAUCUCAUUAACUGCUCCAGUGCCAGGAUAAAACUUUCCUCCCUCGUGUCUAUGCAAGGAUAUGUACAAUACCGAUUUGUUCUGCUCAAAUAUUUCUUGAGUGCCAUUUCCAUGAUGAACAUCCCAGUCGACUAUUAGCACUUUCUUGGCACCAGCGACCUGAGCAGCUAAUGCAGCAAUUGCUGCAUUAUUGUGGAGGCAGAAUCCCAUUGCUUGUUUUAUACCAGCAUGAUGGCCAGGAGGUCGAACCAGAGCAAAACCAUUUUUGGCAGGUCCAGAAAAAAUUGCUGAAGCAAGAUCAGCACACAAUCCUGCUGCAAGCCUAGCAGCACAAGCUGAAUGCUCAUUAGCAUAUGUGUCAGGAGUGAAGUAGCUAGAGAAAAUACGGCUUGUAAGUUCUACAGCCUGAACAUGCUCCAAGGAAUGAACCAUCUGAAGUUCUUGUUGCGUAAUUUCUCUUGCAGGAAUUGGGUAGCAUCUUCCAGGAAAUAUACCAGCAGUGGCAAGGCUAGCAGCUAUAGCUCGCAGGCGAUCAGGUCUUUCUGGAUGCGGAUGUGACUUCAUUUCAAUUUCUGAAUGUAGCAACAUUCUUUCAUCAAAACCAACUGCUGUGCAACUGUUUGAGGAUGAAUAUUGUACAUAAGUGUCUUUGUUUCUCCCCUUCACUUGUGUCUGGACCUCAGUAACACCUGCAUCUUGUGAAAAUGGCGAAGCAAGAAAUCCAUGCCUCAAGAUACCAGAUUCUUUAUGUUCUCCACAUAUAUCACAAUGAACAACAUCAUUGAGAUUAACCAUCGUGCAGUUGGUACAAAACCACUUCAUGAUAUGCACACGCUUUUGUAGAGGCUCCCAAUCACUGUCAUCAUCGUCAUCAUCAAACAAGUCUUGGUUGUUGUACAUAUC
This 1497-nucleotide unclassified non-coding RNA is filed under the name Hevea brasiliensis (rubber tree). The record is from RNAcentral. Lineage: Eukaryota; Viridiplantae; Streptophyta; Magnoliopsida; Malpighiales; Euphorbiaceae.